UCCUCGGUAGUACAGUGGGUCAGUAUGCUCGCCUGUCACGCGAGAGACCGGGGUUCGAGCCCCCGCCGAGGAG
This is a non-coding RNA of Bombyx mori (domestic silkworm), 73 nucleotides long. Lineage: Eukaryota; Metazoa; Arthropoda; Insecta; Lepidoptera; Bombycidae. The record is from Rfam.